AGUGGCGCACGGGUGAGUAACGCGUAGAUAAUCUGCCUGAUGAUCUGGGAUAACACUUCGAAAGGGGUGCUAAUACCGGAUAAGCCCACGAUGUCUUUGGACGUUGCGGGAAAAGGGGGGGACUUUCGGGCCUUCUGUCAUCAGAUGAGUCUGCGUACCAUUAGCUAGUUGGUGGGGUAAGAGCCUACCAAGGCGACGAUGGUUAGCUGGUCUGAGAGGGUGAACGGCCACACUGGAACUGAGACACGGUCCAGACUCCUACGGGAGGCAGCAGUGGGGAAUAUUGCACAAUGGGCGAAAGCCUGAUGCAGCGACGCCGCGUGAGUGAAGAAGGUCUUCGGAUCGUAAAACUCUGUCCUUGGUGAAGAAAAAAAUGACGGUAGCCAAGGAGGAAGCCCCGGCUAACUACGUGCCAGCAGCCGCGGUAAUACGUAGGGGGCUAGCGUUGUCCGGAUUUACUGGGCGUAAAGGGUGAGUAGGCGGUUACAUAAGUCAGAUGUAAAAGGCUAAGGCUUAACCAUAGUAUGCAUUUGAAACUGUGUGACUUGAGUACAGGAGAGGUAAGUGGAAUUCCUAGUGUAGCGGUGAAAUGCGU
Molecule: ribosomal RNA, 595 nt
Filed under: uncultured Sedimentibacter sp.
Lineage: Bacteria; Bacillati; Bacillota; Tissierellia
Description: bacterial SSU rRNA
Rfam family: Bacterial small subunit ribosomal RNA
Source: RNAcentral